This is a non-coding RNA of Drosophila bipectinata, 950 nucleotides long. Lineage: Eukaryota; Metazoa; Arthropoda; Insecta; Diptera; Drosophilidae. The record is from RefSeq and is a predicted model, not a curated record.
CGAAUCAAAAUGAAAUAUGGACAUUGCAUAUGAAGUUUGACAGAAACCUCAUUCAACAAAAUACUAUCCAGCUGAAAACAUCACAUUUGAAAAAUUACUAGAAUGGAAUCCAAUACCCUAAGGGAUAAAGUUCGCAAGACGGUUGCGAUUAAUCGGGCGAAUAAUCGCUCAAAAAUUUUCAACCAGAACCGCACCAUUGACGAGGAGCUGCCUGAACUGAAGAUGGAGGAGGACGCUCACCAGAAGCAUCACGAUCAGCGACUCCUCGAUUUGAAGGAACAGCGGGCAAAGGUUAAUCUUCGAGCCAAGCUAAUCCAAGCAAUACCGGUGAGCGAACAAACCGUGGCGUUUGGAUUUAGAAGCGAGACAUUCAAGGCGCCCAGUGAUCUAGAAAUGCAUGAUUCACCUUCUCUAUAGAAAUAUAUUUUUUGCCAAAGAGAACAUAACUUAAAAUAAGUGUAUUUAAUAGAGAAUACCUUCCUCCCAAGUUGAAGUUGUCGCGAGGAAUUCAAAAUUGUGCGCUUCUGAUGUUAUGUUUAUGUGAUGGAUUUAAAUCGCACUUUUCUGAGACGGACCCCGGUCUGGACAACCUUGGAUCGAUUUGCGCCUUUAAUUACAGCUGUCUUACAUAUGAGAGUUAUUGGACUGUGACUGCUACUCUCAAUGACGGUUUUGAUUCUAUUUUUUCAUCAAAGUCCAUACUUUUGGUCACAACCGGGUUUGCAAUGAACUUCAGACUCGAGUUGAACUAGAAAUCUCAAGACUUGCUUAAUUUUUCAAGACUUUGUUCAAGACUUAGCACAAGACUCUACAUACUCGAAUGUCGGAUUUCGAUGUUCAGUUUUAUUCAACUAAAUUCUUAAUUUGCAAGGCGCUGCCAAAUCUGGAUUACUUUUAUCGGAAAAGUUGGCGACAUACGUCUUAUUUGGUUAUAAAAUUAUUUUAUGAAA